CAGUGAUUACUUUAACGGCCGCGGUACCCUGACCGUGCAAAGGUAGCAUAAUCAUUUGCCUUUUAAUUGGAGGCUAGUAUGAAUGGUCUAACGAGAGUAAAACUGUCUCAUAUAUAGUUAACAGAAACUAAUUUAAAGGUGCAAAAGCCUUUAUCCACUAAAAAGACGAGAAGACCCUGUUGAGCUUUAAUCUUAAUGAGCAUCCUUUAUAUAUAUAUAAAUUUACCCUGCUUACUAAAGAUUUUAAUUGGGGCGAUUAAGGAACAAUCACCAGCUUCCUGACUAUGAGCUAAACCGAUCCAGCAAUGCUGAUCAACAAAACGAGUUACCACAGGGAUAACAGCAUAAUUCUUCUCAAGAGCUCAUAUCGAAAGAAGAGAUUGUGACCUCGAUGUUGGACUAGGGUAACUAGAAGGUGUAGCCGCUUUCUCGCUCGGUCUGUUCGACCGGUAAUUCCCU
Molecule: ribosomal RNA, 459 nt
Filed under: Nerita atramentosa
Lineage: Eukaryota; Metazoa; Mollusca; Gastropoda; Cycloneritida; Neritidae
Description: partial 16S large subunit ribosomal RNA
Rfam family: Bacterial large subunit ribosomal RNA
Source: RNAcentral